AUCUGAUAUAUUUAUUGUACACCCGGUAUGUGGGCUUGCGUGCCUGCUGAAUCAUGUAUAGGGUGCGCGCGCACGAUUACGUCAAUAUCGAUAUUCCGCCAGGAUCGAUAUAAAGGGGUCCUGCGGAAUUCGGAGCUCUUCUUUCUUCGCUCUUCCGUUUUGCUCCUUCGCGAUCAUUAUUAUGCAGUAAACCAUUUAUACGAAUCAGUAUUACGCGGUUACCGUCUUCUAAUUUGUAUCAGUUAAUUGAGUGACAUUAAUUAAAUUGUGUGUGCUCUGUGCAUUAUUGUUGUAUAUUUCAUCCUGACAAAUAUCCUGACAAAAUUCCUGCAUCGUGUAUCACCACGGACGGCUUGAUUAAGAUAAUCUUAUCUGACUCUAUAUUACACGAAGAUACAUUUACAAAUAGAGAUGCAAUAUAAAAUAUGAUGAAGUGAGACAUGAUGAAACAGAGAUGCAACGCAAACCUGAUGAUACUGCAGACUGUAAUAUUGAAAUCAAUACAAAAGAUACAAAUUAAAAAAAUAAUUUUCAAACAAAAGGACAUAGCAACAUAUACGAGCUGAAACGUUGUUAUUAAUUAAUUUAUAUAAGGAGCAUAUGGAAAUGUUCAAUAAUCCAAAAAUUACAGCCAGGCAAUGUUGGAACAAUAUUUCAAAAAAAAAUAGGAGAAGCAGGACAUCAAAUAUUACCAAUAAAAUGUUCCACCAAAUUUCAGUGUUUGAAAAGAACGUAUAAAUCUGUUACUGAUCACAAUAAAAAGUCAGGAAACAAUAGGAAAAAAUGGGAAUAUUAUGAGAUUAUGCAUGAGAUAUUUGGAACCAAACCUUGGAUUGCUCCAAUAGCGACAGCUGGGAGUACAUUAAUAUUAUAAGUGAAGAUACAGAAAACGAAGGUCCAAUAAAACCAGUACCAAAGAAACGAAAAAUUAACAACAUACUAGAAGAUUAU
Long non-coding RNA from Camponotus floridanus (Florida carpenter ant), 951 nucleotides. RefSeq lists it as uncharacterized. Lineage: Eukaryota; Metazoa; Arthropoda; Insecta; Hymenoptera; Formicidae. The transcript is spliced from 5 exons. The record is from RefSeq and is a predicted model, not a curated record.